GAUGAUUCAGGUGUGUCCCCAUGAAAGUGGUGAAUACUUUUCAAAGGCACUUGGCCAUUCAUGGAGCUUAAAUCCCUGGAACCACAACUUCCGAGGCAAAGCAAGUUUAGCCCGGCCUUUUUGUCGCUCACUCCGUCACCACUCGGCCUCCACAGUCACCACCCACGCCUUAGCGGCAGCUGUCACCAUGACGCCCCGCGGGGGAACGUUGCCCGGCAGGCGGGGAGGUGGAAGCUGGGAAGCAGAGUCUAAAAAAAAAUCUGACACAGUGAAUAAUGAA
This is a non-coding RNA of Plectropomus leopardus (leopard coralgrouper), 280 nucleotides long. Lineage: Eukaryota; Metazoa; Chordata; Actinopteri; Perciformes; Serranidae. The record is from RefSeq and is a predicted model, not a curated record.